This is a long non-coding RNA of Heterocephalus glaber (naked mole-rat), 2995 nucleotides long. The record is from Ensembl. NCBI's taxonomy places the organism in Eukaryota, Metazoa, Chordata, Mammalia, Rodentia, Bathyergidae.
CUUCUCUCUCUAUAUAUAUUUCUUGUAUAUACCAUCAAAACAAUCAGUUUUCAAAUCCAGUGGUAUUUUGGGCAGCUUUAUCUAAAUUUAUGGAUCAGAAAGAGAUGCAGCAUAAAAAUCUUACUAUACCUAAAAAUAAACAUUGAGAAGUAGAGAUGUGGGCUGGGGAUUUAGCUCAGUGUUUUCACCGCCUGCUGCGCAAGCUCAAAGACCUGAGUUCGAUCUCCAGUAACAAAAAACAAAAACAAAAGUAGAGAUGCAUUUACAUUUUUAAAAUAAAAAGUCAGAAGAGCUUAUUCUCUUAGAGGAUGUACUCUAAUUCUUGUUCUUUUUUCAAGUAUUAGUUGUACCAUGUUGGCAAAGGUCAUUUUUUUAAAUCUUUCUCUUUCUCCAGGGGAGCUAUGUAUUAUUGUAAUGGUUUUACUGGGACUCUUGCUGGAUGCAACAAACAAACAAACAAACCUCUAACAUAGAUCAAAAAGUAGAUGUAAAUAAUGAAAAGAAUAAGAAAAACAGUGGGAUUGAAAAUAACGUUAAAUCACAUAGAUCCAUCCGUGGAAUAUAUGAUCAGGAUAUAAGGGCACUGAGAAGAAUGUGAUUGACAUAACUUUGUUUUGAUUUACAAUGACAGAGUAAUAGUUUAUGUAUCCUUGAAUUACAUGAAUAAAAUUGUAAUCACUUGAAGUUAAUUCCUAGAGUGCUAACUAGUUUUAGAAAUAAAAAAGUACUUAGAUUAUCUGAGAAUCCAUUAAAGAAAAAGAAAGAUUCCCCCAGUAAAGCCAAAUGAAAUAUAAAGUUUUGAUGUCAAAUUAAGAAUUAUAAUCCAUUGAAUAUAUUUCAUUUUAAGUUAUAGAGAGAUUUCAUUAAGCUUUAAGUCCUGAUAAAACUUUAUCACACUAUUGGUAAACAUGAAAGCAUUCAUCGGGGUUUUUUUAAACCUGUAAUGUGUUCCCAUACUCUGAUAUCUACAUAUACUGUAAUCAUAAAUAGACUGUAUUUUUCCUUAAGAACAAGAAUAAAAUGGAGAGCUGCAUUCUUGCCUAUAAUUCAGCCUCAGAAAGAAUAUCAGGUAGGACUCUUACACUCAUAAUUGUAUAUAUGAAAUUAUAUUUAAAUUUAGUAUAUUGUGACUAAAUAAUUCUAUACUUACAUUAUAUAAGAGCAUAGCUUAAAUGGAAUGAUUGGUAUGAGUAAAGUUGCAACUAACAAUCAGUAUUUAAUAAACACAUAACAAAUGAAAUGCAUACAUAAAAUUAUCAAAUAUCUAUAUCAAUGCUCUUCCCACUCUUGGAAAAUUUGCUGUAUUAAGGAACCACAUUCCUGAUUACUGUAUUAGUCUUAUCAUUAGGGUUGAAGUGACACAAUAACAACAAAUUUAUCCAGUUCUUCACUGUUAUGUCACAGGAAGUCUGGACAUAGUUGUACUAUGCUUCUGUUGAUCAUCUUUCACUGGCCUUGACAUGGCACUGUAAGGUCACCAAAACAAUUACCAAAGGUUUAUUAAACACAUUGCAAUUAGAGUUUCAAACACUAUCGACACUCACUUUAAUAAAUUUAAAGUUGGCUCUGCCUACCUAUGUUUGCAGUUUAGAAGUGAGAUGGCACAACUCAAAUAUUUAAGGAGCAUUUUCUAUGCACAGACUGUUCCAGAUAGACUAGAAAGAGGAAAUAUGAACUCUUAAGGAACAAACAGAGAGAGAGAAGAUGAUUAGUUAUACAAUUUAAGAAAAGAUGGAUAAUCUGGGAAGAUUUCCAGGAAGAUAUGUGUUUAAAAAUAUGACUUUGAGGAUUUAAUAUGCCCAUAGGUGAGAGAAAUAGAGAUCACAAUUUCUGGUUGAGAAAGAAGCUUGAAUAAAGAAACAGAAGUAUGGACAAAAAUGAAAAUUCCAUUUUAAUUGGAAGUAAUGAUUCAUAUCAAGAUAAUCAAAAGUGAAGCUGGAAGGAAAGACCUAGAGUUACACUUGAGAAAUGAAAAUACAGACUUCAGGUGGCCAGAUGACUUUAUAAAAUCAGGAAGAAUGAAUAGAGAUACUUAAGUACAAAAAGAAGUUAUUAAACCUUCGGAAGAUUCAUCUUAUUAUUACAUUGGGUGUAAGAAGCUUAAAGCAGCUUUUAAAAUAUAGAAAGUGAGUAAGGAUGGAAAUGGAUGUACUGGUGAAAUAAGUUUUCAGUGGGAGGGGGAGAUAACCUGAAAUAAGAAAGAGAAUUGGCAGAUACUAAAAUCUGAUUAGCAAAUGGUAUUGACCAAAAUAAAUGGUGUGCACAUGGGGCCCGAAGGUCCUACAUCGAACAAUAUUUGUCUGUGUGUGAAUAAACACUCAAAUGUUAGAAAGAAAUUCUGGAUGUAUUAUAGUCUUGCUUGCUGUUGUAUUUAAAUCAAAUGCACACUUUUAAGCUUUUUAAUAAUUUAUGUACUAGGGAUGUAAAAAUGAACACUAUCUCAAAGUAUACAUUAAAGGUAGUUUGUCUGGUUUAUUAUUAUUUUCAUAAGAUCUGCUACUUAUCAAAAGGGCUUUCUCUUCAAAUAGCCUCUUUUAUCUUUCUAUCCUAGCAUAUAUAUAUUCUAGGAAAAGGGAGGGGGAAAAAGAGAACUGUGAAAAGAAAGAGGCUAUUGUGGGACCAGAAGAAUACAGGAAAUUGAUAACAUUUUCAACCUUUAAUUUCUGAAAUAUUCGUCUUAAUAAAUAAUUUUUUAUUGCUGAACAAUGAAAUGUACUUGGACCCUUUGGUUCUGUGAAUUUUUGUGACUGUGAUAACUGAAAUACCAUUAAGCAGCAAUGGGUUAAGAACAAACUUUUUGGACAUGAUUUACUUAAGUGCAAAAAUUGAGGUCUGAAUAAAUCGCUGUAAUAGUAAUUAUUUGUAUCAACUGUGUGUAGUCAUUUUAUUUAGUAAAGUUUUUUGGCUUGUGAUGAAAAUGCUUUUGUUCAGUUUCUGCUUUAUCUUUUUGAGAAGCAUUUAUGUGUGGCAAAGAUUUUAAUUUUUCAAUGUGUUC